CCCUUUAGCUCAGUUGGUAGAGCAUGGUGUUUGCAACGCCAGGGUUGUGGGUUUGAUUCCCACGGGGG
Molecule: transfer RNA, 68 nt
Filed under: Salmo salar (Atlantic salmon)
Lineage: Eukaryota; Metazoa; Chordata; Actinopteri; Salmoniformes; Salmonidae
Rfam family: tRNA
About the family: Transfer RNA (tRNA) molecules are approximately 80 nucleotides in length. Their secondary structure includes four short double-helical elements and three loops (D, anti-codon, and T loops).
Source: Rfam by way of RNAcentral